RNAcentral lists this long non-coding RNA (7684 nucleotides) under Sorghum bicolor (sorghum). RNAcentral describes it as "long non-coding RNA (SBIC_LNC003771)". The record is from RNAcentral. Lineage: Eukaryota; Viridiplantae; Streptophyta; Magnoliopsida; Poales; Poaceae.
AUGUAAAUUAUUCUAGUACUACAAUAUUUUAGAUAGAUUGGUUGGAGCUCGUGUCGCAGACGCAACUAUUUCAAAGAAUGGAAAUCUCGUUUGCUAUCGCGCUAGAAAGAGCGACAGCCGCUAGUGGAGCUCAGAGCAGUUCAAUUUCUUGCAGUUUCCACAUCUCCCGAUCCACCCAUGGCAGCCCCUACCGUCGUCUUACUGCCGGUGUGGGGUGCCGGCCACCUCAUGCCCAUGCUCGAGGCCGGCAAGCGCCUGCUCACCCGCGGCGGCCGCGCGCUCUCGCUCACCGUGCUCCUCAUGCCAGCGCCCACGGAGGAGGUCGCGGCCGAGCUCGACGGCCACGUACGCAGGGAGGAGGCCUCCGGCCUCGACAUCCGUUUCGUCCGCCUCCCCGCAGUGGAGCCGCCGAUGGACUCCCGCGGCAUCGAGGAGUUCGUCUCCAGGCUGGUCCAGCUGCACGCGCCUCACGUCAGGGCGGCGAUGUCCAGCCUGGCGUCCCCGGUGGCCGCGUUCGUCAUCGACUUCUUCUGCACCACGCUGCUCGACGUGUCCCGCGAGCUCGCCGUGCCCGCGUACGUCUACUUCACCGCCAGCGCCGGGAUGCUCGCGCUCAAGCUGCGCCUCCCGUCGCUCCACGAGGAGGUGACGGUCCAGUUCGAGGAGAUGGAGGGCGCGGUGGACGUGCCUGGGCUUCCGCCGGUGCCGCCGUCGUCGCUCCCCAACCCAGUGAUGGACAAGAAUCACCCCAACUACACGUGGUUCGCGUACCACGGCAGACGGUUCGCCGAGGCCGACGGCAUCAUCGUCAACACGGCUGCCGAGCUCGAGCAGAGCGUGCUUUCUGCCAUCGCCGACGGGCGGUGCACGCCCGGUGUCCGUGCCCCGACGGUCUAUCCAAUUGGCCCGGUGAUCUCGUUCACCCCGCCCGCUGAGGAGCCACACGAGUGCGUGCGGUGGCUCGACACGCAGCCGGUGGCCUCCGUGGUGCUCCUCUGCUUCGGGAGCGUGGGAUUCUUCACCGCGCCACAGGCGCACGAGCUCGCGCACGGCCUGGAGCGCAGCGGCCAUCGCUUCCUCUGGGUGCUGCGCGGCCCACCGGCACCCGGGGAGCGGCACCCGUCGGACGCGAACCUCGACGAGCUGCUCCCCGACGGCUUCCUCGAGAGGACCAAGGGCAGAGGCCUGGUGUGGCCGACGAAGGCGCCGCAGAAAGAGGUACUUGCGCACGCCGCCAUGGGUGGUUUCGUGACACACGGCGGCUGGAACUCGGUCCUCGAGAGCCUGUGGUUCGGCGUGCCAAUGGCACCGUGGCCGCUGUACGCCGAGCAGCACCUGAACGCGUUCACGCUGGUGGCCUACAUGGGCGUCGCCGUGGCGAUGAAGGUGGACAGGAAGAGGAACAAUUUCGUUGAGGCCGCGGAGCUGGAGCGAGCGGUGAAGGAGCUGAUGGGCGGUGGCGAGGAGGGGAGGAAGGCGAGGGAGAAGGCCAUGGAGAUGAAGGCCGCCUUCAGGAACGCCGUGGAGGAGGGUGGCUCAUCCUACGCUGCGCUGCGGAGGCUAUCAGAGGAGAUCAUGUGCAAAGUCGACACGAACCAAUGAUGAAGUGAGGCAACUCUACAUAUGUCAAGUGUUCUUUGAUGCUUGGACAAUUGCGCCUUGGUCAUGUGUUGUGUCAGGACUCAGGAGGCAUCACGUAUUUCUGUCGUUACCAUUUUUUUUUUCAAAUUCAAAUAUAAAAGGUUUCCAUCUGGCGUAUGGGAUUAUUCUUUUUUUUUCCACAAAACGUUUCCACCUCACGGAGAAACACGGACGUUUUUUUCCCUUCAGAAGGAUGGUAUUUUGUUCCGGAAAACAUUUCCAUCUCCCUGCGAAAUAUGGACGCAGGUUUUCUUUUUUCCCCGUAGAUGAUACCGAAACCGAGCCACUUUAGGUUAAGCUGGACGGAAAAUUAUUAGUGUACUUUAAUAUUAGAUUAGAGAAAAGAAGAGAAAGAUAUAGAUAUAGAUUUAGUAUUAGAUAUAGAUAUAGAUAGGUAUAGAUAUAGAUAAUAAAUUAAAUAAAUACGGCUUCAUGUCUUCUAGAGAGUUGACAACUUAUUACAAAAAUAUAUAACAAUCAACAAAGUCUAACUCAAAAUACAGAUGGAAUAUUAUUCGACUAUUCAUCCAUCCAUCCAAAGAAACCAAAAAAUUACACGGAAGCCAUCUCUAGCACUUGACAUCCAGAUCCAGGACAAGUUUAGAGAUCUUGAUGAUACUAUCAUAAAAGUUCAGUAAUCUAAGCACCAAAAUUCAAGUGUUGAAAAUCUUUAUGGUACCUUCAUAUGACUUUAUAGACUCAAAUAUCAACAUUUGAGAGUUGGGAACCAGAUGGCACCGUUUUACAAGUAUUAGGGAUCUCCUGUCGAUUUUACUUCAAAAAAAUUAGAGAGGGAAGCGAGGCCCCAUCAGCAUUUCAGAUUUCACAACCAAUCAAUUACCCAUGCCUCUUCUUUGCACUGCCUACAACCACGUCCCCGCUACGCCCUGAAAGUUGAGGGCAGUGAAUCUAGUCUUCAAGGAGGGAUCCACUGUAUAAAUCUCAAAGAACAUCUCGCAGUUGUCCCGCCACAGCCUUGGGUUUGUUCCAUUCCAUCAAACUUCAAAAGCACGAUAAAAUCAUCAAUUUUCCCGCAGAGGUCAGAAAGGGAGCAAGCAAUUGAUAUGUUUGAUAACCCUGUUCCUAACUUCAAAAGGAUGAAAUCAACGAGAGUGACAUACCUGACUGUUUAAUAGCCCAAAAGAAAAUGGCAUUUGAACUGAUGGGGUCCUCACUGAUUAGUAACAAGGAAAUUCAGAGCUAUAUAUAAUUUAACAUAGCACACUGCAAUAUAGUUAGAAGAAGCAUGCGGAAAAUAUAGCACUGCAAUAUAAUUUCUAUCAUACCUGUUUUGUGGACCAAUCUUGCACUGCUCGAGGAAGAUUAACGUAGCUACUUAAAAAUCUGAAAUCCACUUAAAAAUUAUAUUGCAAGCUUGCAGUCAACUCAGCCUAGUCAUUUAUACAAAAAUUGUUUAGAACAUCUAUGCAUCACACAAAGGAUUUACAAAUUCACUUCUUGAUAAAGAUAAACUCACCUCAAACUUACCUGCUAAAUAACAUAAAAGUAAGACAAUUGACAUGAACAAAGUAACCAGGAAGAAGAUUAGCUGCAAAACAACACUGACAUAGACAUGUUAACCAGGAAAAAUGAGCACAGCAUGACAGCACAUGCAAAAGAAAAAUCAGAACCUCUGCCGUUAAAGCAACUACUAUAGCAUUCUUUGAAACAGAUAUAUCGGUGGUGCCAUGUAGCCCUGCUUCCAAAUCAGCAACAUCUCUGGAUGCACUCCAUUGCUCAAUACAAAGCUCGUCCAACGCAUAUCUCAUUACCUCAACAGGUGCUGCCAAUACAAAAUGCAUAUGUAAUAGAUAAGUAACAAUCAAGAGAUGAUGCAAUCUUAGAAGGCAAAGUUCAUAAUGAAGGGACUUUAAUAAUUCAAAACAGAGUAUGGAAUUUUUAUUCCACAGAACAAUACCACUCCUGCUCCCUGCAGAGAAGCAUUGCUCUUAGCUGUACCGAUACCCUUCGUUGCCACCUGCCUGCUCUUCCUGUCCACGCCAUGCACGCGUACGUGACAUGAGACUGUUCCUAGCUUCCCUGUGCCACUAGCUCAUCGUGCUCUCCCUGCUCGGGUGCCUGGCAGGCCUUCGCCUGCUCGGCGGCGUCGCGGCCGCGUUCGCGGCCACAGAGACCAUGCCGCUCAUGUUGUCCUUGAAGAAUCGAGCUUGUUUUGAAAAUAGUUUCACCAUGAGCAACUUUAUAAACGAAGCAGAACUGUUUUGGAAAAAAGUGUUUGGUAAAAUAGCUUCAUCAACUACUUUACGCAUAUAUGAUAGAGAGAAAUGAGGAAAAAAGCUACAAUAAGCUACUUUUUUCAGCUUCAUUUUAACUCAUGUUUUUGUGAAAGGAGAAGAAAAACAUCUUCACCCAUAAAACUGUUUUAGAAAUAAGUGUUUGAAAAAAAAACAGCUCAUAAAGCUCAAACAGGCCCGAAGUGGGCCAUGACCUCUUUGGAGAAUGCAGAGAAGGCGGCCGGCGCCAUCGGCGGCGAGUAGUCGGUGCUCGACCACCAGAGCUACCACCUUCCUAUUUUGCGCACUCUCAACGCCACCCUCGCGCCGCAGCGGUCUGCAAACCUAGCCAGCGAUGUGGAUUGUUUAGGAGCGUGGUUCAUGUCCAUCUUUUUCCAUGUUUGCAGGUUUUGAUCUUUGGUCGCGACGUGUUUGAAGCCUGCAUAUGUAGAUUUUUUUUUAUUUCUAACCUUUUUUACAAAUUAUUUUCGAUAUUAACACUUAAUUUUUUUCUAAACCUAACCUGUUUGGCCGCGUCACCAUACACGGCGCGGCAUUAUAAUAAGCCAUGCAUGGUGGCGCGACAGGACAGCCACAUGGCACUGGGUGGCCGCCCUGACAAGAUGACGUGGCAGCUCUUUCGCUCCACCAUCCAUGGCGCGCUCCAACAACCAGCCGUCUGGUCCUGUGCUGCGCUGCACACCAGCAAGCAGCGCUGCAGCACGUGAUAGUGGUGGGCGUGGAAUGGAGAGAGAGAAGGAGGUCGGAUAUGUGAUGGGACAAAGUCUACAUUGUAGUAUCUGUUAUGUACCUUUAACAUAUGCAUGGAAUAUUAAAUAAAAAUAAAAAUAAAAAUUAAUUAUAUAAUUUACUCUGUAAAUUAUCAAAUAAAUAUUUUAAGACUAACUAGUUAAUAAUUAGAUAUUAAUUGUCAAAUAAAAUAAAAAAAUACUAUAGUAGUUAAAUCUAAAAUCUUUUUGAAAGUAACAAUGUCCCAGCCAAAAUAAAAAUGAGCCAUGGGUCAUGGUCUCGUGACUUGAGAGAAGAGAGGCCGAUAGUGGAGCUUUAUUUAGUUUUCAAAAAUUUUCAAAAUUCUAUAUUAUAUUGAAUCUUUAAAUAUAUACAUAAAGCAUUAAAUAUAUAAUAAUUAAUUAUACAAUUUAUCUAUAAUUUGUGAGAUAAAUUUUUGAAUCUAAUUAGUUCAUGGUUAGAUAAUAAUUAUCAAAUAUAAAGUGGUAUAUUAGCCAAAUUCAAAAAUUUUAGCCACGCCUGGUCUAGGGUCCUCCAAAAAGUUUGGCAAAUUUUUUUAGAUUUCUUGUCACAUCGAAAUUUGCGGCAUAUGAAUAGAGGAUUAAAUAUAAAUAAAAGAAAUAACUAAUUACAUAGUUUAAUUAUAAUUUGCGAGACUAAUCUUUUGAACUUAGUUAAUCUAUGUUUGGAUAAUAUUUGUUAAAUACAAACGAAAGUACUACGAUCUUUAGUUUGCAAAAUUUUUAAAGCCUCUUUUGUCGUUGCUUUCGGCGGUCACCCAGUGUCACGUGGUUGCACUACCACGCCUUUAUACAUGGCGCGAUAGUGUUAUAAUGUCGCGUCGUGUACGGUGACGCUGCCAAACUGGUUAAAUUUGAAAAAAAAAUUAAGUGUCAAAAUUGAAAAUAGUCUAAAAAUGGUUAGAAAUAAAAAAAUUUCCGUAUGCGGGGUGGAGGGCGUGGGUGGCGAGAAGUCUCAUAUCAAACAUCAAGAUCAGUUGUUGGAUAAGUUUUAAUGUUUUAUUAGCCAUUAAUUUUAAUAGAGAAGAGGCCGGUGCCGCCUAAAGUUCUGUUUUUCUUUUGGUUGGUCCUCCACGGCAGGUGUUGGACGACCGAUCAGAGGUUCCGUCAUGGACGACCGAUUGGAGGUCCCGUCAUGGAUUGCAGGCCUCCAGCACAUGCAUUCUGUGCGACCAAGGUUGCGAGACCAUAGAUCAUAUCUUGGUUGGGUGUGUCCACAGUCACGAAGUCUGGCACAGGUGCUUUUUUGGGUGCACAUUCAGGGUCUCAGCUUGAGAUCGGAAUCGAUGAUGAUCCAAUGCUGGUUGGAGGCGAGAAAGAGGAUCCCUAAGCAGCGGCGCAAAGGGUUCGACACCUUCUUCUUUUUAGUAGGGUGGUGCCUCUGGAAGGAGCGUAACAGGAGAAUUUUUGACAUGUUAAUGACUCCAGCAACGCGGCUGUCAGUGAUGAUCCAAGAGGAAGCGGGGCUCCGGUGCUUGGCUGGAAAUAGGCAUUAGGGUGCGCUUCUUGUUGGAUGAUCUUGUUGGUCUCUUUUAUAGCACUAAUGGAUCUUUGUAGUUUGCUUUGUGCUUCAAAGUGGAGGGGUGAGGUCCUGCGGUAACUAAGUUACUGUGGCUUUUAAUUUUUAUAUUAGGCUGGACUCUACUUCUACUUAAUAAAAUAUACGUCCAAUUUUUUUUUGACUUAAAUAGACGUCCAAUCUGGGACGGCCGUGUUCGCGCAAAAUAAUUAUUGAUGGUGGCCUUAGGCUAGUCUCAAUGGAAGUUUCAUUAGAGUUUUAUUUGCAUUAAAUAGGUUGCCACAUAGGCCUUUUUGAUGACAUAGCAGUGUAUUUAAGAAGAGAGAGAAGAAAUGAGUUUCAUCUAGAUGAAACUCUCCAACUCUCUAUGAGUCUUGGAAUUAAAUACCUAUAAAACUAUAAAAUGAAACUCUUCAUUAAAAAUGGAUAUUUUAUUCAAGUUUCAUUUUAUUUUACAUGACAUGGCAGUCUUGAAAACAACACCAUGAAACCUCAACCACAGUGGCGCACGGAGCUAAUUAUUGAUGGCGGCCUUUAGGCCAACCACCGUGGCGCACGGCCUUAACAGCUCCACGUACGCGCAAGCCACGCUCAGUGCCUGUCAUCUCCUUUAGAGCAAGUUUAAUAAUACAGCCUACUUGCUGGCUGUAAGGUUCUUUACAGCCUUCUUCUAGCUCACCUAUACAAUAGUUAGCUAUUCACUAUUAAUACAUGACCCACUUAUCUCUCUCACAAAGUUUCUUGGUUAUUGUGUCUAAGCUGGCUGUAAGCUUACAGCCUGCUUCUCCUCUCUCUCCUCUCUUCUCUUCUCCGCAUCAGCAUUUAGCCAGCUUACAGCCCACCAUAAUACUUGCUCUUAGAGCAAGUUUAAUAAUACAGCUCACUUGCUGGCUGUAAGGUUUUUUCAGCCUUCUCCCGGCCCACCCAUACAAUAGUUAGCUAUUCACUAUUAAUACAUGGCCCACUUAUCUCUCUCACAAGGUUUUUUGGUUUCUGUGCCUAAGCUGGCUGUAAGUUUACAGCCUGCUUCUCCUCUCUCUCCUCCCUUUCCUCCUCCACCUCAGCAUUUAGCCAGCUUACAGCCCACUAUAAUACUUGCUCUUAUAUGGACGCACUACAGGAACCUCAUUUGGUUUCCCCACUCUCCACUCGCUUCACCGAGCUACACAAUUCAAUUAUUCUACUCGUGGAGCCCGGCCGUGUCUCGGACGCAACUAUUUAAAGGAUGGAAAUCUCGUUUGCCAUGGUGCUGGAAAGAACGACAGCCACCCACCGUGGAGCUCAGAGCUCUUCCAUCACUUGCGGUUUCCACAUCCAAGCACCUCACCUUCUCGCCCCGUCCCGAUCCAUCCAUGGCAGCCCCUACCGUGGUCUUACUGCCGGUGUGGGGUGCCGGCCACCUCAUGCCCAUGCUCGAGGCCGGCAAGCGCCUGCUCACCCACAGCGGCCGCGCGCUCUCACUCACCGUUCUCCUCAUGCCAGCGCCCACGGAGGAGGUCGCGGCCGAGCUCGACGGCCAC